UACGUAGGGGGCAAGCGUUGUCCGGAUUCAUUGGGCGUAAGGAGCGUGUAGGCGGCCAGGUAGGUCGGUUGUGAAAACUGGAGGCUCAACCUUCAGAGGUCGACCGAAACCAUCUGGCUAGAGUCCGGGAGAGGAGAGUGGAAUUCCUGGUGUAGCGGUGAAAUGCGCAGAUAUCAGGAAGAACACCCGUGGCGAAAGCGGCUCUCUGGAACGGUACUGACGCUGAGACGCGAAAGCGUGGGGAGCAAACAGG
RNAcentral lists this ribosomal RNA (253 nucleotides) under uncultured bacterium. RNAcentral's name for it is "partial 16S ribosomal RNA". It matches the Rfam family "Bacterial small subunit ribosomal RNA", at positions 524 to 776 of the family's 1533-position model. The record is from RNAcentral.